This 505-nucleotide ribosomal RNA is filed under the name uncultured bacterium. RNAcentral describes it as "bacterial SSU rRNA". It matches the Rfam family "Bacterial small subunit ribosomal RNA", at positions 30 to 526 of the family's 1533-position model. The record is from RNAcentral.
AUUGAACGCUGGCGGAAUGCUUUACACAUGCAAGUCGAACGGCAGCACGGGGCAACCUGGUGGCGAGUGGCGAACGGGUGAGUAAUAUAUCGGAACGUGCCCAAUCGUGGGGGAUAACGUAGCGAAAGUUACGCUAAUACCGCAUACGAUCUACGGAUGAAAGCGGGGGAUCGCAAGACCUCGCGCGAAUGGAGCGGCCGAUAUCAGAUUAGGUAGUUGGUGGGGUAAAGGCUCACCAAGCCAACGAUCUGUAGCUGGUCUGAGAGGACGACCAGCCACACUGGAACUGAGACACGGUCCAGACUCCUACGGGAGGCAGCAGUGGGGAAUUUUGGACAAUGGGCGCAAGCCUGAUCCAGCCAUUCCGCGUGCAGGAUGAAGGCCUUCGGGUUGUAAACUGCUUUUGUACGGAACGAAACGGUCUGCCCUAAUACGGCGGGCUAAUGACGGUACCGUAAGAAUAAGCACCGGCUAACUACGUGCCAGCACGCCGCGGUAAGCAUAC